RNAcentral lists this ribosomal RNA (374 nucleotides) under uncultured organism. RNAcentral describes it as "bacterial SSU rRNA". It matches the Rfam family "Bacterial small subunit ribosomal RNA", at positions 526 to 896 of the family's 1533-position model. The record is from RNAcentral.
CGGGGGGAGCAAGCGUUGUUCGGAUUUACUGGGCGUAAAGGGCGCGUAGGCGGCCACCGCAAGUCGACUGUGAAAUCUCCGGGCUUAACCCGGAAAGGUCAGCCGAUACUGCGGGGCUAGAGUGCAGAAGGGGCAACUGGAAUUCUCGGUGUAGCGGUGAAAUGCGUAGAUAUCGAGAGGAACACCUGCGGCGAAGGCGGGUUGCUGGGCUGACACUGACGCUGAGGCGCGAAAGCUAGGGGAGCGAACGGGAUUAGAUACCCCGGUAGUCCUAGCCGUUAAACGAUGAAUGCUUGGUGUCUGGGGUUUUAUAGUCCCCGGGUGCCGUCGCUAACGCUUUAAGCAUUCCGCCUGGGGAUACGGUCGCAAGACUG